This 433-nucleotide ribosomal RNA is filed under the name uncultured bacterium. RNAcentral's name for it is "partial 16S ribosomal RNA". It matches the Rfam family "Bacterial small subunit ribosomal RNA", at positions 29 to 507 of the family's 1533-position model. The record is from RNAcentral.
AACGGACGCUGGCGGCAUGCCUAACACAUGCAAGUCGAACGAGGCCUUCGGGUCUAGUGGCGCACGGGUGCGUAACGCGUGGGAACCUGCCCUUAGGUUCGGAAUAACUCCCCGAAAGGGGUGCUAAUACCGGAUAAUGUCUUCGGACCAAAGAUUUAUCGCCUUUGGAUGGGCCCGCGUUGGAUUAGCUAGUUGGUAGGGUAAAAGCCUACCAAGGCGACGAUCCAUAGCUGGUCUGAGAGGAUGAUCAGCCACACUGGGACUGAGACACGGCCCAGACUCCUACGGGAAGCAGCAGUGGGGAAUAUUGGACAAUGGGCGAAAGCCUGAUCCAGCAAUGCCGCGUGAGUGAUGAAGGCCUUAGGGUUGUAAAGCUCUUUUACCCGGGAUGAUAAUGACAGUACCGGGAGAAUAAGCUCCGGCUAACUCCGUG